UGCAGCCUUGUCAAAUUCGAUCCCUGCCUCCUCCGUGGUGGGGACCGGCCAGCCGGCUGCCACAGCAACUUCUGUGGUCAAUGAGCCCCAUGUUCCCUUCCCAUGGGACACUGGGCACAAAAUCACACCACAGACACUG
Small nucleolar RNA from Amazona collaria (yellow-billed parrot), 139 nucleotides. The record is from Ensembl. Lineage: Eukaryota; Metazoa; Chordata; Aves; Psittaciformes; Psittacidae.